Molecule: ribosomal RNA, 120 nt
Filed under: Pteropus alecto (black flying fox)
Lineage: Eukaryota; Metazoa; Chordata; Mammalia; Chiroptera; Pteropodidae
Source: RNAcentral
GUCUAUGGUCAUGCCACCCUGAACCACACCCAAUCCUGUCUGAUCUCGGAAGCUAAGCAGGGUUGGGCCUGGUUAGUACUUGGAUGGGAGACCACCUAGGAAGACCAGGUGCUGUAAGUG